AACUAUGGCAACAGUGGUUACGGAUCUAGUAACUAUGGCGCCAAUGGCUACGCAUCUGGUAACUAUGGCAACAACCAAAAGCCUGUAACUGAGAACUAUGGCGACAUUGGUGGUGGGGGUCAAGGGUCAAGCUACAGCAGCCGACCUGGUCUAGUUCCAAACAUCUGCUGUCAGACCGAGGAAGUGUUUUUCGUCAACUCCACACUGACCGAUUACUUUGGGGUUAGCCGUACCAUCGCUCAGAGGGACACGGCGGGGUCAUAUCAGUUCAUCCGUCACGGUCUCUGCAGAAAAACUGGCCAGUGCCCUGGCGACUGCCAGCAAGUUUACGUCAGUCAAGUUCUGGCCAUCCACCCCCCAGAGGCCGGUCAGUUGGUCACCUUCAAGUUCUUCAAAGUACCCGGAUAUUGCGCAUGUACAUUCAGUUAGUUCCCCUGCUUGUGUAGCAAGUGAAUUGAUUAUCGUUCUUGAUUGAUGUCUUGUUAAAAAUAUACACACACGGAUCAUUGCUUUGUUAUCUGGUUGUUUACAGUUUUAUUAAUCCCACACAUAAACCACACAACCACACAUGAACCCAACACAUCCCACACAUAGCCCCAUAUUAAAAACAUGACCCCCAUGUAUCCCCCUAUACUACCACAUAUGACAACAUACUACCACGCAUGUUACCCAAGCAUGACCAAACGUCCCCCACAUACCACAUAUGUCCCCCACCUAAUCACACACGUCCACUCGCACACCCACACUACCACACAUGACCAUUAGGCAUACCCCCAUACCCCCAUACAUGAACCCCACACACACCGACACACCGUACUAAGAUGACCUCCACACAAACCACACAUAUCUUCCACAUACCCCCACACUACCACAUAUAUUCCUACCAAUUCCACAUGUCCACACACGUGACACACAUCCC
Physella acuta is the source of this 919-nucleotide long non-coding RNA. RefSeq lists it as uncharacterized. Lineage: Eukaryota; Metazoa; Mollusca; Gastropoda; Physidae. The record is from RefSeq and is a predicted model, not a curated record.